RNAcentral lists this ribosomal RNA (466 nucleotides) under uncultured bacterium. RNAcentral describes it as "bacterial SSU rRNA". It matches the Rfam family "Bacterial small subunit ribosomal RNA", at positions 28 to 508 of the family's 1533-position model. The record is from RNAcentral.
GAUGAACGCUGGCGGCGUGCUUAACACAUGCAAGUCGAACGAUGAAAGCCGGAGCUUGCUCUGGCUGGAUUAGUGGCGAACGGGUGAGUAACACGUGAGUAACCUGCCCCAGACUCUGGGAUAAGCGUUGGAAACGACGUCUAAUACCGGAUAUGAGCUUCAGCCGCAUGGCUAGGAGUUGGAAAGAAUUUCGGUCUGGGAUGGACUCGCGGCCUAUCAGGUAGUUGGUGAGGUAAAUGCUCACCAAGCCGACGACGGGUAGCCGGCCUGAGAGGGUGACCGGCCACACUGGGACUGAGACACGGCCCAGACUCCUACGGGAGGCAGCAGUGGGGAAUAUUGGACAAUGGGCGAAAGCCUGAUCCAGCAAUGCCGCGUGAGUGAUGAAGGCCUUAGGGUUAUAAAGCUCUUUUACCCGGGAUGAUAAUGACAGUACCGGGAGAAUAAGCUCCGGCUAACUCCGUGC